UUCCGGCCGAAAAUCACAAGGUUUUGUG
This 28-nucleotide small RNA is filed under the name Bombyx mori (domestic silkworm). Its description in RNAcentral is "ovarian small RNA-37218". Lineage: Eukaryota; Metazoa; Arthropoda; Insecta; Lepidoptera; Bombycidae. The record is from RNAcentral.